GGGUAACGCGUGAGUAACCUGCCCUGGAGUGGGGGACAACAGUUGGAAACGACUGCUAAUACCGCAUAAGCCCACGGAUCCGCAUGGAUCUGCGGGAAAAGGAUUUAUUCGCUUCAGGAUGGACUCGCGUCCAAUUAGCUAGUUGGUGAGGUAACGGCCCACCAAGGCGACGAUUGGUAGCCGGACUGAGAGGUUGAACGGCCACAUUGGGACUGAGACACGGCCCAGACUCCUACGGGAGGCAGCAGUGGGGGAUAUUGCACAAUGGGGGAAACCCUGAUGCAGCGACGCCGCGUGGAGGAAGAAGGUUUUCGGAUUGUAAACUCCUGUCGUUAGGGACGAUAAUGACGGUACCUAACAAGAAAGCACCGGCUAACUACGUGCCAGCAGCCGCGGUAAAACGUAGGGUGCAAGCGUUGUCCGGAAUUACUGGGUGUAAAGGGAGCGCAGGCGGACCGGCAAGUUGGAAGUGAAAACUAUGGGCUCAACCCAUAAAUUGCUUUCAAAACUGCUGGCCUUGAGUAGUGCAGAGGUAGGUGGAAUUCCCGGUGUAGCGGUGGAAUGCGUAGAUAUCGGGAGGAACACCAGUGGCGAAGGCGACCUACUGGGCACCAACUGACGCUGA
Molecule: ribosomal RNA, 625 nt
Filed under: uncultured bacterium
Lineage: Bacteria
Description: bacterial SSU rRNA
Rfam family: Bacterial small subunit ribosomal RNA
Source: RNAcentral